GGUAGUGAAAGGCCUAACCUAUCUAUGGAGCCUGAAGAUUCUACAUAGAGACGUCAAGCCUUCCAACAUGCUGGUCAACACUAGAGGUCAAGUGAAGCUCUGUGACUUUGGAGUCAGCACGCAGUUGGUGAAUUCGAUCGCCAAGACGUAUGUGGGAACUAACGCGUACAUGGCACCAGAGAGGAUAUCUGGGGAGCAGUACGGCAUCCAUUCAGACGUCUGGAGUGUGGGCAUCUCCUUCAUGGAGGUACCAGAAUAAUGUGC
Molecule: long non-coding RNA, 264 nt
Organism: Coregonus clupeaformis (lake whitefish)
Lineage: Eukaryota; Metazoa; Chordata; Actinopteri; Salmoniformes; Salmonidae
Exons: 4
Source: RefSeq, a predicted model, not a curated record